Molecule: non-coding RNA, 251 nt
Filed under: Carnobacterium sp.
Lineage: Bacteria; Bacillati; Bacillota; Bacilli; Lactobacillales; Carnobacteriaceae
Description: T-box sequence
Rfam family: T-box leader
About the family: Uncharged tRNA acts as the effector for transcription antitermination of genes in the T-box leader family. T-boxes are found upstream of many aminoacyl-tRNA synthetase genes and some amino acid biosynthetic genes usually in Gram-positive bacteria. The anticodon of a specific tRNA base pairs to a specifier sequence within the T-box motif, and the NCCA acceptor tail of the tRNA base pairs to a conserved bulge in the T-box antiterminator hairpin.
Source: RNAcentral
CGAACGUUAGUAGUGUGAGCUAGUAAAAGAGAUAAAACGCAUAGAGAGUCAGUGGUUGGUGGAAACUGAUGGUUUGUUUUUUUGAAUCCGUCACAUGAAGUAAACAAUGAACCAAAGCCAACUGAAGAAACGGCUUUGCCUAAAUUGCUUCGGAUCCAGACCGUUAUCUGUUGUAAAGCGUAGAAUCUGUCUGUCUGAUGGUUUCUAAAUUUGGGUGGUACCGCGAACUUCGAGGCCAUUUCGUCCCAUGA